Pelobates cultripes (western spadefoot toad) is the source of this 232-nucleotide non-coding RNA. The record is from the annotation of a GenBank genome assembly. Lineage: Eukaryota; Metazoa; Chordata; Amphibia; Anura; Pelobatidae.
GUGACACGGUUACCUAAUAAUUCCUUGUUUAAAGUUUGCUCCAAGCAUCAUAUCCACCACAGCCUGCAUUGAUAACAUAACAAAUACACACAUACACACAAUAUCUGAAAUGUGUCUUCCAAUGCCCUAAAGAAAAACACACGAUACCUGUUCUGUGGAACAUAAUGUGUUAAUGACACACCUGUCAACUAUUGACACAAUCAAUGCACUUGACAGACUGUAACCUUUAAAG